CCUACGGGAGGCAGCAGUGGGGGAUAUUGGACAAUGGGGGGAACCCUGAUCCAGCGACGCCGCGUGAGUGAAGAAGUAUUUCGGUAUGUAAAGCUCUGUCAGCAGGGAAGAAAGAAAUGACGGUACCUGACCAAGAAGCCCCGGCUAACUACGUGCCAGCAGCCGCGGUAAUACGUAGGGGGCAAGCGUUAUCCGGAUUUACUGGGUGUAAAGGGAGCGUAGACGGCAGCACAAGUCUGGAGUGAAAUGCCGGGGCUUAACCCCGGAACUGCUUUGGAAACUGUGCAGCUAGAGUGCAGGAGAGGUAAGUGGAAUUCCUAGUGUAGCGGUGAAAUGCGUAGAUAUUAGGAGGAACACCAGUGGCGAAGGCGGCUUACUGGACUGUAACUGACGUUGAGGCUCGAAAGCGUGGGGAGCAAACAGGAUUAGAUACCCUUGUAGUC
RNAcentral lists this ribosomal RNA (443 nucleotides) under uncultured bacterium. RNAcentral's name for it is "partial 16S ribosomal RNA". It matches the Rfam family "Bacterial small subunit ribosomal RNA", at positions 338 to 795 of the family's 1533-position model. The record is from RNAcentral.